AUGCCAGUUAGCCAAAAGUCCACGUUGAAUAGCCCAGUUAAUACGGGACAUGAAAACCAGGACAAAUUGGAACACAAGCAAAUUCCAGAACGCAAUGGACACGAUAAUAAUAUGAAUGUAGCUAGCUUUGAUGCUUUUAGUGGAUCAGAUAAUGCUAGAGAUUUUGUUUCUGUUGAACCAAACAAUAGACCGGGAACCGAGUUCACGAAUGUAGGGGCACAAAGUAAAGAGAUGGGAAGAUUUUCAGCACGUCCCUCCGAAUAUCCGGUACGGCGUACGUUCUUGGGGUCAAAUUCAGACGUAUGGUCGGAAUUUCUCCAAUAUUUUGAAAAUAUUCGGGAGUUAAAUUUGUGGGACGAUGAGAAAGCAAGACGAGUAUUGCUUAGUACGUUAAGGGGCCAAGCGGAAACCUACGCUUACGGGCUGCCUUUGAUAAUUCAGAGAAAUUAUCAACGUUUAGCGGAGAAACUGAACGAUAGAUUCGGGCAUGCUGCAAUGAAAGAGAGAUAUAUUGCUGAUGCUAAACUACGGAGGAGGCAACCAGGAGAAUCCCUCCGAGAUUUUGGUCAAGCUAUUGAAGACUUGUAUAGGCGGGCUUAUCCAAACAAUCCUGACAUAGUUGAAGAAAACGCUAUGAAGUCAUUUUUAGACAGAUGCGGCCAAAACGAAGAAUUUCGUUUAAAUAUAAAACGCACUAGACCUAGAACUUUACAAGAUGCUGUUUUAUCGGCUGUGCAAGAAGAAUGUUUACGGUUAGGUGAACAAGAUUUAUUUCAAGAUGCCAAACCCGCAAAUCGUUUAAUCUUUGGAAUAGACGGCGAAGAUGAUGGUGGCGAAAUAAAUGACGAGAACGAUUUUGAAAUUCCCUUUUCGUCAGGGGAGAGUUAUCAACCUCAAAAUGAUUAUAGGAGUGAAACCUAUAGAGGAAGAGGAUCCAAGUCGAAAAAUAAUUCUCGACAAAAUAAUCGUGGGAGAGGAAAUUCUAAUUAUUCUAACCCAGCACGAUCAAGAGGGGGCCGGGGUUUUAACCGGUCAAAUGACUCCUCUGAUCCGUUAAACUAAAACGGACCGGUACCUUUGGCCAGGUACCGGUCACACCAACGCGGCCUUACGCGAAAAAUUAUGCAAGGAAAUUUGGAAUUAAAAAUCAGAAAGACAGAAGAAAAAGAAAUGAUAAAACUAAACAAAAUUCAAAAAUUCAAGUAUCUAAAGAAACUAAUCCUUGCAACUUAAAGCAGACGCCUCAAGAGGCGAAAAAUUGUGACGAUGUCACUACGGCCAAGAAUCUAGAGCACCCUAAUUCUCAUGGAGCUCUAGUUCGUGUUUACGGUGUUGCUAACAUGAUGGUUAAAGGUCAUAUAGAGAGUGUUCCUAUCAAUUGGAAAAUUGACACUGGAGCUAAACGGACUUUCAUUACGGAACAUGUUUUUAAUUCAAUUAUUGAAAAACCGCAACUAAGUCCAGUUAACGCUAAUUAUAUAGCCGCUGACGGACAUAGUUUGAAAUGUAAAGGAGAAGCUGUCAUGUUGGUAAUUUUCAAUGAUCACGUUUUUGAAACACAAGAUCAUUGUAGGAGGAGUAAAAUAUAACUUACUCGGGGAGGACUUCAUUCUUAAAAACCGGUGUACUUGGGACCCGGAUGAAUCAAGUUUUAUUAUUAAAGGAAGUAGAUUUCCAUUAGGCGGAAAUGAUGGUAAAAGUGGAUCUGGCAGAGUGGUGGCCUUACAAACGAUACUGGUACCUGCAGGACACGAGGCGAUUGUAAAGUCCAGCGUUGUUAAUAAGUUAGAUUCGCCCUGUAAGCAAAGUUUCCUUGGGAUAUUGACACCGGAAAAAUUGUUUAUGGAAAAGUUUGGUUUAGCUAUUGCUAGGACACUAGUAGAUUCUAACCAAUCUGUAAUAUUUACACGAGUUUUUAACCCCGGAUCGUCUGAUGUUACAAUUUAUCAAAAUACGCACAUGGCACUGUUUACGCCUAUAGAUAAGGUAGGGCCAGUCUUGGACCUAAAUGUUGAUAUUUCGAUUUGCCGAGUGUCCGAAAUAAGCGAAGACACUUGUUUAUUACCUGAAUACCUUACUGAUGUUUACGAACGUGGUUGUGUUGGCCUCACGGAGAAACAGCAGCAGAAGUUUAAAGUAUUUCUUUGUAAAAUGCAGGAAUGUUUUGCUAAACCUGGGGAGGUAGGACGAACUAAUUUAGGCUCACAUUCUAUCAAGCUGAACGACGAAAAGCCGGUGAGAGAGCCUCCCAGACGGAUUCCUCUCUAUAAAAGACAAGCAGUUGAGGACGAAAUCAACAAACUAGAAGCACAAGGACUUAUUGAAAAAUCAAUUAGCCCUUGGUCCUCGCAAAUCGUAAUGGUUCAGAAGAAAGACCAGUCCUGGAGAAUGUGUGUGGACUUUAGAAAAUUGAAUGAAAAGACCGUAAAAGACGCCUACCCUUUAACUAGAAUCGAUGAAAACCUCGACACCUUAAGUGGAGCCGAAUGGUUUACAUCCUUAGAUUUAAAUAUGGCGUAUCACCAGGUUCCAUUAGAAGAUGGGGAUAAAGAGAAAACCGCGUUUGCAACACCAAGAGGAGGUCUAUAUCAAUUUGUGACUAUGCCGUUCGGUCUUUGUAAUGCGGCCGGAACGUUCGAGCGAAUUAUUGAGAAAGCGUUGAGUGGACUACAAUGGCAUAUUGCCGUUUUGUAUCUAGACGACAUUGUAGUUUUUGGAAAAACGUUUGACGAGCAUUUUGAUAAUUUAGAAAAAGUACUCGACAAACUAAUGUUAGCCGGAUUAAAAUUGAAACCUAAAAAGUGCACUUUUCUUCAGAAAGAAAUCACAUUUUUAGGUCACGUGGUAUCAAAAUCCGGGGUGAGAACAGAUCCGGCCAAAUUAGAUGCGGUAAAUAAAAUACCAGCUUCCAACAACAAUUACAGAGGUACGAAGUUUCCUCGGCCUGACCUCGUACUACCGUAAGUUUGUAAGAAAUUAUUCGAAAAUCGCAAAACCUCUGUUUGAUCUCACUAAGAAGGGACAUUGCUGGAAGUGGACAACGGAUUGCGAAUCAGCGUUUCAAGAGCUUAAAACACGGUUGACUUCAGCACCUAUAUUAGCAUACCCGCAAGUAAAUGGAGCUGAAUUCAUACUGGAUACCGACGCCAGUAAUUUUGCUAUUGGCGCGGUAUUGUCACAAGUACAAGAUGGAACGGAGAGAGUUAUUGCCUACGGAAGUAGAUCGUUAGAUAAACCGGAACGCAAUUAUUGUGUGACCCGGAGAGAAAUGCUAGCUGUAGUAUUUUUUACCCGACAUUUUAAACAUUACUUAUUGGGUAGACGUUUUACUUUGCGUACCGAUCAUGGAUCGCUUACAUGGUUACAAAAUUUCAAAGAACCAGAUGGGCAGAUUCAUCGUUGGAUCCAACAGUUGAGUCAAUUCCACAUGAAGAUUGUCCAUAGACCUGGUGUCCGUCAUGGUAAUGCCGAUGCUUUAUCUCGCAUUAUCACGUCGACAUCCGAUAUUUGCAAACAAUGCAAAAUGCCCUGGGAUUAUGAAUACCAGGGACCUGAAGAAGUAGAAAUAAUUGAGAUGCAGGAAGGAGACGGAGUAAAAUUGAUGAAUAAAGUUUUGGAAGGUCAGUCUAUAGGUGGAGUUACUGAUAAAAGUCCUGAAAGUCCCACAAUGUCAUCAAAUAAUUCUGGAGACAUGGAUGGGCAACUAGAUUGUAGUAUUCCAGGAGAAAUACCUAUUGUAAGGAGGGGGAGAAAGCCAAAUCGGCCCCCGCCAGCCAGACGAAAACCACUCCCAAAAAUAGCAUUGGACAUAACAUCUAUGAGACAGCAACAAGAAGAGGAUGAUAUAAUGGGGGAAAUUUUAAAACUAAAAAUUGAAAAUGCGGAAAAACCUUCAACAACGGAAAUAAGUAGUAAGAGCAAAGAAUUCAAAUUUUGGAUAUCAAGAUGGGAGUUGUUGGAAGUUAAAAAUGAUGUCCUGUGUUUGUAUUGGGUUGAAAAGAACAACUGUGCAAAAUGGCGUGUGUGCGCACCAAAGUCCGCAGUUAGUGGUAUACUUUGGUACUUACAUGACGCUAGAACCUCAGGUCAUUUAGGGAUAAAGAAAACAGUUGAGCGAGCCCAUAUAUGUCCGUUUUAUUGGUGGAGUAUGCAAAGAUCGGUGAAAGAGUAUGUUCAUAACUGUGAAAUAUGCGAAGAGCGGAAAAAUCCAGCGCACAAGAAGAGGCACGCUCUGAAAACACACUUAGUCGGUGCUCCCUUCGAGAGAAUAGCUACGGAUAUCGCUGGCCCGUUUCCAUUGUCUGACAACAAAAACCGUUAUGUGCUCGUAGUAGGGGACUAUUUUACUAAGCUUACAGAAGCAUACCCGAUGCCAGAUAUGCAGGCGGAAACAGUUGCCGACAUUAUUUUUAGAGCAUGGGUUAAAAGAUACGGCUGUCCUAUUGAAUUACACUCCGACCAGGGCAGACAAUACGAAAGUACUCUUUUUCAAAAUAUGUGUGAGUUACUUGAAAUAAAGAAAACCAGAACAACUCCAUUGCAUCCUCGUUCUGAUGGGAUGAUAGAACGUAUGAACCGAACGAUUCAGGACAUAUUAUCAAAGUACAUCAAGUCUCACCAGAGAGAUUGGGAUCAACACUUAGAUUUUCUUACCAUGGCCUAUAAUUCAACACCUCAUGAAAGUACAGGUUUAACACCACACCGUUUGGUAUACGGACAGGAAAUGAAAUUCCCCUUGGAUAUUAUUUCUGAAAGAAUUGAGCAAGACGAACCCCAGUCUGAGUUUGCAUCUGAUUACGCCAAUAAAUUAGAAGAAAGGUUGCGGGAGGCACAUGAAAUAGCGAGAGAGCAUUUAAAAGUGUCAUCAGAGCGACAGAAAUUUCAAUACGACGGAAAUGUUAAAGAAAAAAUAUAUUCUGACGGACAGUUAGUGUGGAGAAAUCAAAAACAAAAUAUUCCAGGAAAGAAAGCCAAGAUUUGUAGGAAUUGGACCGGGCCGUGGGUGAUUAUAAAAAAUUAAGCGACGUUUUGUACAGAAUUCAACAUGCUAAAAAUUCGCCCCCUGUUGUGGUUCAUGGAGACAAUUUAAAACCGUAUCGGGGAUCAAAGAAACUUAAAUGGUUUAAACAAGGAGUAAUUAAUGAAAAUGUGACAGUAAGUUUUCCAGAUCUCGAUAAUUUCCUGCAAUCGGAAGAUUCUGAAAAGGACAGUGAAAAUGCGGAAGAAUUUGCCAAUGACCUACCUACAGAGUUGGAUGAAAGUAUUAUUCCGAACCACCAAAAAGAAGAUAAAUGCAUUGACAAUUUACCAGCUGUUUCAAAAAGUCCACAAAAGCCCGAAAAAGAAGCCCAGAGGAAAAGCCCGAAGGCCCGAAAAACAGAAGCCCAGUUUCCACAUCUGAAAUUAAUUAGCAUCUCACCAGAUGUCGCGCCUGCGCAAGAAAAUCAAAACAGUCGGGAAUAUAAACAGUACACCACGAGAAAAGGACGCCAAAUUAAAGUACCAGAAAAGUUUAAAGAUUUUAUUGCAACUUUUUGA
Molecule: small RNA, 5538 nt
Filed under: Mytilus galloprovincialis (Mediterranean mussel)
Lineage: Eukaryota; Metazoa; Mollusca; Bivalvia; Mytilida; Mytilidae
Source: RNAcentral